AUCAGUAUUGGCAUGAGGACAGACAAACUGACCAAUGGAAAAGCACGUACAGAUACAUACAGUCAACUGAUUUUUGACCACAGCCACCUGUAUGGCAACGAGGAAAGAAAGGAUGAACUCCUCAGCCAGGCACAGUGGUAUGCACCUGUAAUCCCAGCUACUCGGAAGGCUGAGGUGAGAGGAUCCCCUGAGCCCAGGAGCUUGAGACCAGCCUGGGCAACAUAGUGAGAUCCCAUCUCUUUAAAAAAAAAAAAGGAGAGAGAUUAUCUUUGAUAAAUGAUGGAAAUAACGGUGGGUCAGGCUGCCCUCUCCUAUGUGGAUGGGCCUCAUCCAAUCCACUGAAGGCCUGAAUAGAACAAAAGGUUGUGUAAGAAAACAUUCUUUCUCUCUGUGUGGUUGUCUCCAAACUGGGACAUGAGUCUUCUCCUGCAUCCAGACUUGGACCCAGACUGGAACUUAAACCAUCAGCUCUCCUGAGUUUGGACUUCUCAGACUCUGUAAUUAGGUGAGCCAAUUUCUUGUAAUUAAUCUCUUUAUAAACACACAGACAGACACACACAUUCUAUUGGUCUGUUUUUCUGGAUAACCCUAAUACAGAAUGUUAUACUUCAACAAAUAAUUUUUUAACUAAUUGUUUAAGAAAAUACGUGAAUAAAAAAUCUGGCCUGGCAUGAUGGUUCAUACCUGUAAUCCCAGCACUUUGGGAAGCUGAGGCAGGCGGAUGACCUUAGGUCAGGAGUUCAAGACCAGCCUGGCCAACAUGGUGAAACCCCGUCUCUACUAAAAAUACAAAAAUUAGCUGGGGGUGGUGGCACAUGCCUGUAAUCCCAGCUAUUCGGGAGGCUGAGGCAGGAGAAUCGCUUGAAGCCGGGAGGUGGAGUUUACAGUGAACUGAGAUCAUGCCACUACAUUCCAGCCUGGGCGACACAGUGAGACUCUAUCUCAAAAAACAAAACAAAACAAAACAAAACUUCUCCAGUGACUAAGAUCUAUAAAAAUAUCAUUAAAUGGAAAAUCUAAUGUGAAAAGGACAACAGCCAAAAUUAAGACCUCAAUAGAUGGAGUUAACAGUCAAUGCACAUUGAAGAGAGGUCACUAAACGGGAAGGCAGGUGGAUUAAAAAGCUGAAUGGAGAGAUGAGAAGGUCAGCGAACUGGAGGAUAGGUCCAGACUGAAGUACAGUGAGAGGAAGAACAUGGAAAGUAUAGAUAGUAAUUUAAGAGGUAUGUUAAAAAUGUUUAAUGUUCUAUCAUUGGGGUUCCCAAACAAGAGGAAAGAGAGAACGAGGCCGGGCAUGGUAGCUCAUGCCUGUAGUCCCAGAACUUUGGGAGGCAAAGGUGGGUGGAUCACUUGAGGCCAGGAGUUUGAGACCAGCCUGGCCAACCUGGCGAAACCCCAUCUCUACUAAAAAAAAAAAAAAAAAAAAAUGCACACACAAAAAAUUACUUGGGUGUGGUGGCACAUGCCUGUAAUUCCAGCUCCUCAGGAGGCUGGCACAUGAGAAUCGCUUGAAUAUGGAAGUCAGAGAUUGUGGUGAGCUGAGAUCCUGUCACUGUACUUCAGCAUGGGUGACAGAAUGAGACUCUGACUCAAAAAAAAAAAAAAAAAA
This 1609-nucleotide long non-coding RNA is filed under the name Macaca fascicularis (crab-eating macaque). RNAcentral's name for it is "lncRNA (ENSMFAG00000063768.1)". Lineage: Eukaryota; Metazoa; Chordata; Mammalia; Primates; Cercopithecidae. The record is from RNAcentral.